AUGCCACGUGGUGUACAGGUUAGUGGUGCUUUUUACCCCGUAGAUGUCGGCUGCGUUGUGCCUGGAGAGUGUCGGCCGCUAUCUUGCAUUUGGACCCGCAAAGUGUCAGCUGCGCUCUUCUCCUAUAGCCUGUUAGAAGUCGGGCGUUAUCUCACUUUUAUAACUCGCGGUCUUGUCUUUUUUGGACCUGUAGAGCGUCGGCUGCUAUAUUUUCCAAAGGCCUUUUAGACGUCGGCUGCUUUCACACAUUUCAAACUCGCGAUGUGCCUACUGCACUGUAAAUUUUCCGUAUAUUGCUUUCCCCUUUUUGAAAGCAAACAAAAAUCGCUGAAUGAUAAUGUGACUGAUAAUGUGUUUGCGUUGUUGGGAAAUAUGAGAGAGGUGGUGGGGAAAUGGAAAUGAUAAUUUCGCAUCGAUUUUCUGAGUCAUACACAGUAUGCAUAAUUUGGUGUAAUAAUUUUCAAAUUAUUUCCACAUUCUAGUCGAAAAAAUCGUCGCAAAAAUUUCGGACAAACCAGCAAAAAGCUAUCAAGUCUUUCCAUCCGGGACGGAAGUUUUCAAAGUUUUCAGGCGUGAUCCCAUCGCCGCAGCCGAAAACCCGCCCGGAUGCUGUGACGUCUUCCUCGACGUGCUCCGCGCAUGCGGUCUCAUCUGCUACGUGGCAUGUCCACCCGUCCCGUCAGUAAUCACUCGAAAACUCGCAUUCCACCCGCCCGAGAAGGGCAUGACCUACCGGAUAGUGCUCAAGUCGGAUCCCGAGAAACGAUUCAAGAAUAUUCGCGCGUGUAAGGACGAGCCGAUGCAGAUGGUCGUCAGAAACAUCAACAAUGGUGCAGACUAUGUGCAUCCCGAGCAGGAUGUUGAGGUGUUCUCGGUGAAGACCGCCAAUAAUAAUGAUCUGGUCUGCGUCAAGUGCACGCCGGAUAGCUACUCCAGUAAUCCUGCGGUUGCUGAACAGGUUGUCCUAUUCUGCCAGCCGAACUCUUCAGAUCUCGGAGGCUUCCUUCAACCAAACUCCAUGAACUUUGUCACCUAUGCGAACGUUUUUGAGACUGACUUAUAUGCAUUUGACUAUUCUGGAUACGGCUUCUCCUCGGGGACUCAAGGCGAAAAGAACGUGUACGCCGAUGUGAGAGCAGUUUAUGAAAAGAUUUUGGAGAUGAGACCGGAUAAGAAGAUCGUCGUGAUGGGGUACAGUAUCGGAACGACUGCAGCAGUCGACCUGGCAGCUACCAAUCCGGAUAGACUGGCUGGAGUUGUGCUGAUUGCUCCGUUCACCAGCGGGCUCAGACUUUUCUCCAGUAAACCGGAUAAGCCGGACACAUGCUGGGCGGAUUCUUUCAAAAGCUUCGACAAAAUCAAUAACAUCGACACUCGUGUCCUGAUUUGUCACGGAGAUGUUGAUGAGGUGAUCCCCCUGUCACAUGGUCUGGCUCUCUACGAAAAGCUCAAAAAUCCGGUUCCCCCGCUCAUCGUCCACGGCGCAAACCAUCACACCAUUCUCAGCGGGAAGUAUAUCCAUGUCUUCACUCGUAUUGCAAACUUCCUUCGUAACGAGACCCUCGUGAGCUGCCGUAGCGCUGAAGUCGACUCGUCACAGCAACAACAACAAUUGUCAUCGAAGCGAACGGAAAAUGAAUAG
Molecule: unclassified non-coding RNA, 1642 nt
Filed under: Caenorhabditis elegans
Lineage: Eukaryota; Metazoa; Nematoda; Chromadorea; Rhabditida; Rhabditidae
Description: Non-coding transcript of protein-coding gene F01D5.8b
Source: RNAcentral